GAUGAAGAACGUAGCGAAAUGCGAUACGUAAUGUGAAUUGCAGAAUUCAGUGAAUCAUCGAAUCUUUGAACGCAUAUUGCGCUCUCUGUUAUUCCGGAGAGCAUGCUUGUUUGAGUAUCAGUAAACACCUCAACUUCCAUAUCUUUUUUGAAAUGGGAGUUGGACUUGAGUGAUCCCAACGCUUUUCCUCACCGAAAAGUGGCGGGUUACUUGAAAUGCAGGUGCAGCUGGACUUUUCUCUGAGCUAUAAGCAUAUCUAUUUAGUCUGCCUAAAAAACAGAUUAUUACCUUUGCUGCAGCUAACAUAAAGGAGAUUAGUUCUUGUGCUGACUGAUGCAGGAUUCACAAAGACAGGCUUCGGCCGACUUUGUAAACUCGAUCUCAAAUCAAGUAAGACUACCCGCUGAACUUAAGCAUAUCAAUAAGCGGAGGA
RNAcentral lists this unclassified non-coding RNA (433 nucleotides) under soil metagenome. Its description in RNAcentral is "partial contains 5.8S ribosomal RNA, internal transcribed spacer 2, and large subunit ribosomal RNA". The stretch from base 1 to 120 matches the Rfam family "5.8S ribosomal RNA", at positions 35 to 154 of the family's 154-position model. The record is from RNAcentral.